GAAUCAGUACGCUGGUCGUGCCUUAGGUAUGCACUGGUGUCACUGGUUUCUCCCUUCUGACGAACCGUCAUGCCAUUAAUUUAGUGUGGCGGGAAAUCAGGACUGUUACUUUGAAAAAAUUAGAGUGUUUAAAGCAGGCGUUUGCUUGAAUACAUUAGCAUGGAAUAAUGGAAUAGGGCUGCUGCCCCAUUUUGUUGGUUUCUGGGACCGUAGCA
RNAcentral lists this ribosomal RNA (215 nucleotides) under uncultured fungus. Its description in RNAcentral is "partial small subunit ribosomal RNA". The stretch from base 47 to 215 matches the Rfam family "Eukaryotic small subunit ribosomal RNA", at positions 693 to 864 of the family's 1831-position model. The record is from RNAcentral. Lineage: Eukaryota; Fungi.